CCUGUUGAUGCCGCUGCUGUUGAAGUCUAUGUGAAUGGCGCCCCCUGGUGGAAUGGAAAAGAGAAUGGGACGCCAGGAAUGUCAGAUGCUUUUCAGCCUCUCCCCUGCUCUUACGCCUAGAAACAGGAGCCCCACAAAGGUCUGUCAUUCCUCAGGGCUGACGAAAAGCCCUGUGGCUCAAUGGCCAGAAACAUGUCUUUGUGGCCAAGUAAGAAGUCUCUUGGUUUGACCUCUUUGGUGUAGAGACAGAUUCUUCUACCAGUGGUGUAAAACCCUAAAGAGGCUCUGCAUAAGACCUACCAAUGCCCUGUGUCUCAUGACACCCUGCCCCCACCACUGGAAGGCCACGCCAUCCUGCUUCUCUGUGAUCUGCA
This is a long non-coding RNA of Mandrillus leucophaeus (drill), 374 nucleotides long. RefSeq lists it as uncharacterized. The transcript is spliced from 2 exons. The record is from RefSeq and is a predicted model, not a curated record. NCBI's taxonomy places the organism in Eukaryota, Metazoa, Chordata, Mammalia, Primates, Cercopithecidae.